Molecule: long non-coding RNA, 2048 nt
Organism: Magnolia sinica
Lineage: Eukaryota; Viridiplantae; Streptophyta; Magnoliopsida; Magnoliales; Magnoliaceae
Exons: 6
Source: RefSeq, a predicted model, not a curated record
GUAAAAAAAAAUAAAUAAAUAAAAGGGCUGUUUUCUGGAUCAAAAUCGUCUUUUUGUUCAAAACCUACUAUUUUUAAUGUCUUGUUUUUGCUAUUUUUGGUGUUUUAAGAGCCCGGCUGUGGUCCAAAAUCUUUGCUUUAGUCAUCUAAGAAGGUGUUGCCAUGGCAGAGAAGUUUCUUUACUUUUUGGUAAAAUGUCUAUUGAUGAAAUAUCACGCUUUCUCCUCCACACACACACACACACAAAAAAAAACAUAAUAUGCACGCCGAUGUGGCGAUAACUUUAGAUGCCUAUCAGCUUGUGGUUUUUAUUAGGAUAUCUAUUCUUGGUUCCAAAUUGACCUUAUAUGAGGUAUUUCUAAUAAAACAACUUUCGUCUGUCAUUAUACAUCUGUACAGACAUCUGAGAGUGGUGGGUUUUCCAGGACCUUGUUUCUACUUAUUUCCUUGUCCAAAAAAAAAAAAAAAACACUGCUGUCCAUGUCCAAAAUAGGUAUGCAUAUUUGUGUCGACGUUGCAUUGUCACAACAUUAUUUUUUGGUUACAUUGACUGCUCCUCUUUAAAUCCUGAAUUGUUUAAAAUGUGUAAGAUUUGUUCUAAUGGAAUGCUUUACUCUUUUUACUCUUUUAGGCUUGUCUUAUUUCAGUGAUUUGAUUAGUCUUUAAAAGAUAUUCGGGGAUAAAGUACCUGAGAAUGUGCAAAAAGUUACUUGCAACAGGAAUGACAGAAUUCUGAAAAUAAGAUCAAGAUUGUGCUUUGUUGACCAUCAGGAGUAUACAUGUGUUGAAAUCAUUCAGAAGUCUGGAUCACAAGAUUAAUGUAAAAUCUUUAUCCGAUGAAAGGAUUUGCAAAAUUGGUUACAGCUUUUGCAAGAAAUACUCACUGAUGAGAAGUAUAGAUUGAGCUGUUGAACCGUGCCAGGAAAUGUCAAUAAUGCAGCCCAAUUCAGAGUAAUGGAAGAAUCUCUGAUGAAAUCUCUUUAUUCACAUUGAGAAUACUAGAGAUGGCGCAUACUUGAAGUUUCGGAUACAGGUCGAAUCUUGAUCUUCAAUCUUCCUAUGGAUGACGUGGCUACAAUUUUGCACCUUCCAACAAGUACCAUUCUAUGAAUGGAUUCGACCAGACUUCCAUCGGAUACAACAGCUUGGAUUAGAGAAGCCAGACCUGGUACCUUUCAUCCCUUCCUUGUUCAAGUAUUUGAGGGAAAGGGGGAUGCAAGUCGGAGUAAAGGUUGUCUACUUUGCAAUUGAGGCUCUGUGGCUUAGUCCAUUCAUGGAUGUAGCCCACUAGACUGCAUGGACAAACGAUCAAGACCACCAUCCAUCUGUUCGCCCCUACCAUUUUGAGUGAUUGUACAGAAGACAGAAUCUGUGCUACCUGAUUUCAGUUGCAUAGUCAGAUUAUGAAGACCAGAAUCUACACACACCUAAUGUUUGUUGGUGAUUGUACAAAAAACUUGCAGAUAGGAGAAUCCUAGCUACCCAAUUUUCUCUGUUGAAUGUGAUAUUUAUACAGUUUGUAUAAAAAUGGCUGAUAUUUGUCAUCACCCAUUUGCUUGAAGGCUCUUACUCGGACGGAUAGGAUUUUCUAAUUGAUGAGAUAUUUAUACAGUUGCCUGUCACCAUAGGGCUGAUAAGAUUGACAUACCAGAUGAUCCACCCAUGAGCCAUGCAGGCCUAAUCAAGCAGUAGACCCUCUGACAUAAGAGCAGGCUCCAAAUUGAAAAUGAACCAAUAGGCCUCUCAAAUUCUCUGUCAAGGGUGGGCAGUCUCUUGUUCAAAAGGGAUUCUUCAGAUCGAGCAUGGAUGUUCUUCAUUGUUUGCAAUUUUAUCAGCUGCUAUGCUUCUCGAGUAGGUUUCAGAAAAGCAACAGUCACUUUGCUAGCUGUUUGUAGCUCUAUCCUUGUGUUGAGUUUAGAAGGAUAAAGUAUAUAUGGAUGUUUAAGUAGAGGAAGAAAGAGAGAUUGUAUUUAUUUUAGAAUGCAUGAAAAACAGAUCUGUAGUCUGACUGUUAUGCAUGUUACAAGUAAUCAUAUGAGUUUCAUGUGC